UUAAUACAACGAAGAGUUUGAUCCUGGCUCAGGAUGAACGCUAGCGGCAGGCCUAACACAUGCAAGUCGAGGGGUAACAGGUGUAGCAAUACAUGCUGACGACCGGCGCACGGGUGAGUAACGCGUAUGCAACCUACCUUUAACAGGAGGAUAGCCCCGAGAAAUCGGGAUUAAUACUCCAUAAUAUUAUUGAACCGCAUGGUUUAAUAAUUAAAGUUUCGGCGGUUAAAGAUGGGCAUGCGUGACAUUAGUUAGUUGGUGAGGUAACGGCUCACCAAGACAGCGAUGUCUAGGGGUUCUGAGAGGAUUAUCCCCCACACUGGUACUGAGACACGGACCAGACUCCUACGGGAGGCAGCAGUGAGGAAUAUUGGUCAAUGGUCGAAAGACUGAACCAGCCAUGCCGCGUGCAGGAUGAAUGCGCUAUGCGUUGUAAACUGCUUUUCUACAGGAAGAAACCUACCCUCGUGAGGGUAGCUGCCGGUACUGUAGGAAUAAGCAUCGGCUAACUCCGUGCCAGCAGCCGCGGUAAUACGGAGGAUGCGAGCGUUAUCCGGAUUUAUUGGGUUUAAAGGGUGCGUAGGCGG
This 587-nucleotide ribosomal RNA is filed under the name Bacteroidales bacterium. Its description in RNAcentral is "bacterial SSU rRNA". It matches the Rfam family "Bacterial small subunit ribosomal RNA", at positions 1 to 578 of the family's 1533-position model. Lineage: Bacteria; Pseudomonadati; Bacteroidota; Bacteroidia; Bacteroidales. The record is from RNAcentral.